This 332-nucleotide ribosomal RNA is filed under the name uncultured bacterium. RNAcentral describes it as "bacterial SSU rRNA". It matches the Rfam family "Bacterial small subunit ribosomal RNA", at positions 568 to 898 of the family's 1533-position model. The record is from RNAcentral.
CGUGUAGGCGGUCAGGUAAGUGGGAUGUGAAAGCCCUCGGCUCACCCGAGGAUCUGCAUCUCAAACUGCCUGGCUUGAGUAUGGGAGAGGAUGAGGGAAUUCCUGGUGUAGCGGUGAAAUGCGUAGAUAUCAGGAGGAACACCGGUGGCGAAGGCGCUCAUCUGGCCCAAUACUGACGCUGAGGCGCGAAAGCUAGGGGAGCAAACGGGAUUAGAUACCCCGGUAGUCCUAGCCGUAAACGGUGAUCACUAGGUGUUGGAGGCAUCGACCCCUCCAGUGCCGCAGCUAACGCAUUAAGUGAUCCGCCUGGGGAGUACGGCCGCAAGGUUGAA